CCUACGGGGGGCUGCAGUGGGGAAUAUUGGGCAAUGGACGAAAGUCUGACCCAGCCAUGCCGCGUGCAGGAUGACUGCCCUAUGGGUUGUAAACUGCUUUUCUACGGGAAGAAACACUCAUACGUGUGUGAGCUUGACGGUACCGUAGGAAUAAGGAUCGGCUAACUCCGUGCCAGCAGCCGCGGUAAUACGGAGGAUCCAAGCGUUGUCCGGAUUCAUUGGGUUUAAAGGGUGCGUAGGCGGACUACUAAGUCAGGGGUGAAAUCUUGCGGCUCAACCGUAAAAUUGCCUUUGAAACUGGUAGUCUUGAGUUCGGUCGAGGUGGAUGGAAUGUGUCAUGUAGCGGUGAAAUGCUUAGAUAUGACCCAGAACACCAAUUGCGAAGGCAGUUCACUGGACCGACACUGACGCUGAGGCACGAAAGCGUGGGGAGCGAACAGGCUUAGAUACCCCUGUAGUC
This 460-nucleotide ribosomal RNA is filed under the name uncultured Bacteroidota bacterium. RNAcentral describes it as "bacterial SSU rRNA". It matches the Rfam family "Bacterial small subunit ribosomal RNA", at positions 338 to 795 of the family's 1533-position model. Lineage: Bacteria; Pseudomonadati; Bacteroidota. The record is from RNAcentral.